GAUGAACGCUAGCGGCAGGCCUCAUACAUGCAAGUCGAGGGGCAGCGAGGGACUUCGGUUCUGUCGGCGACCGGCGAACGGGUGCGUAACGCGUAUGUAACCUACCCCUUACACUGGAAUAGGCACUGGAAACGGUGAUUAAUGCUGGAUGGUAUAUUAGAUUGGCAUCGAUUUGAUAUUAAAGAUUUAUCGGUAAGGGAUGGACAUGCGUUCCAUUAGCUAGUUGGUUAGGUAGUGGCUAACCAAGGCGACGAUGGGUAGGGGUUCUGAGAGGAAGGUCCCCCACACUGGCACUGAGAUACGGGCCAGACUCCUACGGGAGGCAGCAGUAGGGAAUAUUGGUCAAUGGGCGCAAGCCUGAACCAGCCAUGCCGCGUGCAGGAAGAAUGCCAUUAAGGUAGUAAACUGCUUUUAUAAAGGAGCAAGGCUGAUUUGUAAUUAGAUUGAGAUUACUUUAUGAAUAAGCACCGGCUAAUUCCGUGCCAGCCGCCGCCGUAACAC
This 501-nucleotide ribosomal RNA is filed under the name uncultured bacterium. RNAcentral describes it as "bacterial SSU rRNA". It matches the Rfam family "Bacterial small subunit ribosomal RNA", at positions 28 to 526 of the family's 1533-position model. The record is from RNAcentral.